This 463-nucleotide ribosomal RNA is filed under the name uncultured bacterium. RNAcentral describes it as "bacterial SSU rRNA". It matches the Rfam family "Bacterial small subunit ribosomal RNA", at positions 30 to 485 of the family's 1533-position model. The record is from RNAcentral.
AUUGAACGCUGGCGGAAUGCUUUACACAUGCAAGUCGAACGGUAGAGGGGGCAACCCCUCGAGAGUGGCGAACGGGUGAGUAAUAUAUCGGAACGUGCCCAGUCGUGGGGGAUAACGUAGUGAAAAUUACGCUAAUACCGCAUACGAUCUAAGGAUGAAAGCGGGGGAUCGCAAGACCUCGCGCGAUUGGAGCGGCCGAUAUCAGAUUAGGUAGUUGGUAGGGUAAAGGCCUACCAAGCCAACGAUCUGUAGCUGGUCUGAGAGGACGACCAGCCACACUGGAACUGAGACACGGUCCAGACUCCUACGGGAGGCAGCAGUGGGGAAUUUUGGACAAUGGGGGCAACCCUGAUCCAGCAAUGCCGCGUGAGUGAAGAAGGCCUUCGGGUUGGUUAAAAGGACUCCUUUUGUUCAGGAAGAAACAGCAGCUCUAACACAGUCUGCGAAUGACGGUACCUGCAAA